AACCCAGGUUGCUUUCCUUCCUAAGUGUUA
This 30-nucleotide non-coding RNA is filed under the name Rattus norvegicus (Norway rat). The record is from RNAcentral. Lineage: Eukaryota; Metazoa; Chordata; Mammalia; Rodentia; Muridae.